UAAAGUAGCCCUAAAACUCCCGAUCUCCUCCUUCUUUUAGCUCCGCCUUCGAUACCAAUCCUUAACUUUGGGCCCCUUAAAGUAACCCUGUUGGGUCGGUUAAGAGCCGGCGGGCUGUCCCUUUUCUUCCAAAUGCUCUUCGCCAAUGUUAGUGGUUAACGCUAAGUUGUUGCGCCCCGAACCUAAUCGUUCUGCAGUGCUAAUAUUAAACAAACCCCACCAUCUUACCUUUUAAUUCCUUAAUUAAUUUUCCAUAAAAAGUUUUAUGGUUGCCAAUUUAAAUUUAUUCAUCAGCUCAUCGGGGUUUGAUUUACAAGACUUAACCCAAUAUCUCACAACACAAUCUAACUACAACAGCAGGCGCGCAAAUUACCCAAUCCAGACAAUGGGAGGUGGUGACGAGAAAUACUAGUCAGUGUCUCAAAAGGACGCUGAUCUGGAAUGGACGCAAUUUAAGAAAUUGGUUUGAGUAACAACUGGAGGGCAAGUCUGGUGCAUGCACCACCUGUCACUCUAUCCCCGAAAGUGUAUUUUAAUGUUGCUGCGUUUAAAACGCUCGUAGUUGGAUUACGCAGUGUGAGUCGGUCAAUUAGCAGAGCUUCACAUUAAAACCGAGGCGUUGUCUUCAUGAAAACACGGUUACCGUGAACGUGACUCAGCGUCUUGGUGUGCUGCAUGUUGAUUAUCAGCCGGCCCACACUACUUGUACGUGAGGAAAACCAUAUACCUUUAGUGCGUUGACUGUUCGUGUCCCACGGAGUGUGCCUUGAGUAAAUCAGAGUGCUUAAAGCAGGCUGGUCAACGAACAAUUGUGUUAUACGUGUCUAUACUUACAGUUGGAUGGAUUUACUCUAUGGUUAUUAUAAGAUGUCAAAACCUGUUAAAGUUCUUCGCUUUUCUUUAAAUAAAACAAAUGCAUCACACCUUGUGCCCCCCGUGUCCUUCUUACCCUCUAACAGCGGCGAGAGGUUUUUUAUUAUUAUCUUUAUAUUUUCUUAUAAUUUAGUUUUUACAUGAUUAUUUAUUCCCUAUCUA
Molecule: ribosomal RNA, 1035 nt
Filed under: Myxobolus sp. Egy-2015
Lineage: Eukaryota; Metazoa; Cnidaria; Myxozoa; Bivalvulida; Myxobolidae
Description: bacterial SSU rRNA
Rfam family: Eukaryotic small subunit ribosomal RNA (bases 263-1035)
Source: RNAcentral